This 431-nucleotide ribosomal RNA is filed under the name uncultured bacterium. Its description in RNAcentral is "partial 16S ribosomal RNA". It matches the Rfam family "Bacterial small subunit ribosomal RNA", at positions 29 to 507 of the family's 1533-position model. The record is from RNAcentral.
AACGAACGCUGGCGGCAGGCCUAACACAUGCAAGUCGAGCGCCCCGCAAGGGGAGCGGCGGACGGGUGAGUAACGCGUGGGAAUAUGCCCUUUGCUACGGAAUAGUCUCGGGAAACUGGGGGUAAUACCGUAUACGCCCUUUGGGGGAAAGAUUUAUCGGCGAAGGAUUAGCCCGCGUUGGAUUAGGUAGUUGGUGGGGUAAUGGCCUACCAAGCCGACGAUCCAUAGCUGGUUUGAGAGGAUGAUCAGCCACACUGGGACUGAGACACGGCCCAGACUCCUACGGGAGGCAGCAGUGGGGAAUCUUAGACAAUGGGGGCAACCCUGAUCUAGCCAUGCCGCGUGAGUGAUGAAGGCCUUAGGGUUGUAAAGCUCUUUCAGCUGGGAAGAUAAUGACGGUACCAGCAGAAGAAGCCCCGACUAACUCCGUG